GCUCUUGACAUGCCUAUGAACCUUAGUGGAGACACUUUGGGCCUUUCGGGGCGUAGGACACAGGUGCUGCAUGGCUGUCGUCAGCUCGUGUCGUGAGAUGUUGGGUUAAGUCCCGCAACGAGCGCAACCCUCGCCUUUAGUUGCCAGCAUUUAGUUGGGCACUCUAAAGGGACUGCCAGUGAUAAGCUGGAGGAAGGUGGGGAUGACGUCAAGUCCUCAUGGCCCUUACGGGCUGGGCUACACACGUGCUACAAUGGUGGUGACAGUGGGCAGCGAGAUCGCGAGGUCGAGCUAAUCUCCAAAAACCAUCUCAGUUCGGAUUGCACUCUGCAAACUCGAGUGCAUGAAGUUGGAAUCG
RNAcentral lists this ribosomal RNA (358 nucleotides) under uncultured bacterium. RNAcentral's name for it is "bacterial SSU rRNA". It matches the Rfam family "Bacterial small subunit ribosomal RNA", at positions 977 to 1334 of the family's 1533-position model. The record is from RNAcentral.